Long non-coding RNA from Brienomyrus brachyistius, 397 nucleotides. RefSeq lists it as uncharacterized. The record is from RefSeq and is a predicted model, not a curated record. NCBI's taxonomy places the organism in Eukaryota, Metazoa, Chordata, Actinopteri, Osteoglossiformes, Mormyridae. The transcript is spliced from 3 exons.
GGAUAGGUGUGCCAGGGAAUGUGGACAGAUACAGUGAGGGAUAGGUGUGCCAGGGAAUGUGGACAGAUACAGUGAGGGAUAGGUGUGCCAGGGAAUGUGGACAGAUACAGUGAGGGAUAGGUGUGCCAGGGAAUGUGGACAGAUACAGUGAGGGAUAGGUGUGCCAGGGAAUGUGGACAGAUACAGUGAGGGAUAGGUGUGCCUGGGAAUGUGGACAGAUACAGUGAGGGAUAGGUGUGCCAGGGAAUGUGGACAGAUACAGUGAGGGAUAGGUGUGCCAGGGAAUGUGGACAGAUACAGUGAGGGAUAGGUGUGCCUGGGAAUGUGGACAGAUACAGUGAGGGAUAGGUGUGCCAGGGAAUGUGGACAGAUACAGUGAGGGAUAGGUGUGCCAGGG